This 70-nucleotide transfer RNA is filed under the name Dipodomys ordii (Ord's kangaroo rat). It matches the Rfam family "tRNA". From Rfam's summary of the family: Transfer RNA (tRNA) molecules are approximately 80 nucleotides in length. Their secondary structure includes four short double-helical elements and three loops (D, anti-codon, and T loops). Further hydrogen bonds mediate the characteristic L-shaped molecular structure. tRNAs have two regions of fundamental functional importance: the anti-codon, which is responsible for specific mRNA codon recognition, and the 3' end, to which the tRNAs corresponding amino acid is attached (by aminoacyl-tRNA synthetases). tRNAs cope with the degeneracy of the genetic code in two manners: having more than one tRNA (with a specific anti-codon) for a particular amino acid; and 'wobble' base-pairing, i.e. permitting non-standard base-pairing at the 3rd anti-codon position. Lineage: Eukaryota; Metazoa; Chordata; Mammalia; Rodentia; Heteromyidae. The record is from Rfam by way of RNAcentral.
GGGAAUGUGGCUUAGUGGAAGAGUGCUUGCUUAGCAUGCAUGAAGCCCUGGGUUCAAUUCCUCAGUACCA